CUGAGUCCGUGUAUCCCUCCGCAGCCAGGCCAGUAAUGCGGCGGCCUUAUGGAACACCUUCCACCUGCCCAUGAUGCCUGGUGUUGGAGCCUGAGGCCGCCCUGCACCUCGCAACAAGCUCCUGCCACUGUACUACUAGUGUAGCAACGUCCUCACUCACGCAUUGAUCGUCCAGGACUCGAGGUGGAGGUGUAGUUAGUGAAGUUGGCCAAGUGUUUGUGUCUAUUGAUCUGGAGCAGCGGUGGUUGUAGUGUCUGUCUCUCCUCGACCGCUCCCACCAUCCGUUCGAGUCAUCCCCGGUGUCGGUGUUGUUGAUUCGGUGCUGAUAACAAGUGAAGCGGACGGCCGUGGGUGGUGGUGUUGGGCGGCCCUAGGCGGUGGUGGGCGGCCCCGGGCGACGGCGGUGGGCGGGCCAGGCGGGGGGCGCGGCAUGGGGCGUGCCCAGGUGGCGGCCAGCGGGCCAGCGGCCGGCCCCGCGGGACGGCACCCUCCCGCCGAAGGCCGGUAGGCACUGCCUCCUGGUGCCCCCGUGCCGGCGACCUGCCUUGCUCCCGCACCUGCUCGUCCUCGCCCUCGCCGCUGCUGCCUCACCUUUGAGUGUGCCCGCCGCCACCACGUGCCCUACCUGAGGUGUCGGGGCAGCAGGCGGCGCCGCUCCCCCCGCCCGGGCAUGGCCGCCCCCCGCGGGGCGUGGCUCCCCUGCGCACAACCCCAGGGACACUAGAGCAAGCCCACCAUGGCGGCCGACGGAGGGCCAGACAUAAUGCCGGAUCUCUCGCACCUGACCGACGAGGAGCGGAGCAUCAUCGAGGGUGUGAUGCGCCGCCAGAAGAUUGAGGAGGAACAAGAGAGCGAGCUUGUUAGGAGAAAGCAAGAUGAGGUCCGGAUCUUGGAGAACACGAUCCGUCUUCGCUCCGAGGUGCAGAGAAAGAAAGGCUUGGAACUGGAUGCCACCUGCCAGAUUUGCCUCAAGACCAAGUUUGCGGACGGCGUGGGCCACAUCUGUAACUACUGUAGCGUCCGCUGCUGCGCCCGCUGCGGAGGAAAGGUCUCCCUCAGGUCAAAUAAGGUCAUCUGGGUGUGCAUCCUGUGCCGCAAGAAGCAGGAGCUGCUCAUCAAGACGGGCACUUGGAUGAACCCUGGAUUUUCGCAGCAUGGCGAGGCGAUGCACCUUGACCACGAAUACUCAGGUACGGCGGCAUCCGUCACUCCCACGGGCGACAAACGGCCCAAGUUGGAGCGUGGUGCUAGCAGUGAAAAAGAAAAUAACCGGCCCACAGGUGUUGGAGGGCCGGCCCCGGGGGGAGGGGGGCCUCACCACCAGGGGGAGCCAGCGCCAGGACACCACCAGGGAGAACAGGGGCAUCACCACGCCACCCUAGAUACGCGGACAGCUCUGCAGCGCACCGGAAGCACACAGGGGCGGGAACUGCGCCGCCAGUUCUCGCAAGAACGCGGUGGUGGCGAAAGCGGGCGGCCGGCAAGAGGGCGGGCGGUCAGCGAAGGGGGCGAGGGACCGCCGCCCUCGCCCAACGCCCGCGAACGACCUGUCCCGCCCCCUGAUGCCUUCCGCUCGUUUGAGCAGCAGAGACCGGCGGGUCCGGACAUCCGGGUGGAGCGGGGUUAUGGGGGUGGCGGGGGGUACGGGGGCCCGGGUUAUGGCAACAACCGGUACAGCCCUAACUUGGGCGGUGCCGGCGGUAGCAGCCCCAUGGAGGGCAGCAGCCCUGGCCCCGCGUCCAUGGAGGGCAGCAGCCCCCAUCCCGACGACUCUCGCCGCAGCCACCUGGACCCCUCGACUGGGGCUAUGGGACGCUCUCACGGGCGCCGCCGCACCGACCCUGUCAUGAGGAAUGACUCUGUCUCCUCAGACCAGAGUGAGUGUGUACGCCCGCGGCCCACCAAGCCGCACAAGCUUCGAAGUCGAGGUCGCAAACCCCGUCAGCGCUCACUCUCGUCUUCUGACGAGGAGGUGCGCUCCACUCCGGAUUAUACCUCGUGCGAAGAGCCCGAGGCCGAAUCCGAGGGUGUGUCGGAGAAGGGCGAGGGCGAGGCGGUGGCAGAGCGGUAUAAGCGGCAGGAAAUAGUACACGCCACCAUCAAGACUCUCCUGGCGCACCCGGUCUCGUGGAAGCCCAGCCAAGACGGCACCAGGCUCAUCGGACACCUACUGCUCAAUAAGUACGUGAAGGGCGAGGUGCCGGUGCUGAGCGCAAAUAUUCUGGGGCUGAAGGUGGUGGGAGGCAAGAUUCUGGAGAACGGGAGGAUUGGCGCCCUUAUCGAGAAGGUGAAGAAAGGCAGCAUUGCGGACUCCGUAGGGCAUCUCAGACCAGGGGACGAGGUGCUGGAGUGGAAUGGACGCUCCCUGCAAGGCAAGUCCUUUGAGGAGGUGUUUGAAAUCACCUCAGAAUCCCGCCAGGAGCCACAGGUCGAACUCAUGGUAUCGAGAUUACUGUCGGACGUCGACCGACAAGGGGGCAGACGACACACCCUCACUGGCCUUGUUCCCAAAGGCGAAGGUUACGAGCCCCGCAGGUUGCCCGAGCCGCGGCAGGACCGGCGACCCAGCGUCACCAUCACUUCGCCAGGCUCGCCAGAGACCUUCAGGAUACGAACCCACUCCCCCUCCAUUAUCGGCAAGCUGCAGCUCAAGUUGUGGUUCGACCCCAUGAACCAACAGCUCGUCGUGACCAUUGUGAGUGCCGUCGACCUGCCCCCGAGACCAAACGGCGCCCCAAGAAACCCGUACGCCAAGAUGUUCCUGCUGCCCGACCGAAGCGAGAAGUCUAAACGCCGCACCAAGGCUGUGGCCAACACCCUGGACCCGCGCUGGAACCAGUCCUUCUACUACUGUCCGCUGCGUCGUGCCGAGCUCAAGACCCGCUCCCUCGAGAUCACCGUCUGGGACUACGACAGAUACGGCGCCAACGACUUCCUGGGAGAGGUUGUGGUAGACCUGAGCGCGGCGCCCCUAGAUGAUGAACCAGACUGGCACUACCUCUCCUCCCACGACGACGCCCUCCCGUCCCACAUGCGUCGCGGGAUAUACGUGGACACAGAGUCCGCCUCCACCAUCGCCUCCACCGACCACUUGUCUCCGCCCUCCACCACCUCCCGUCUGAGCGAGUCUGACAUUAGUGACCUGGAGGACAAUCUGCAGCGGGACAGACGGACAGACGGAACAUCCAUCAGCAGCGUGGGGUCCUCCUCCAGUCCGCCUCCCGAGGACCGCCAGCUGGGAUCGGGGGCGGAACAUCUGCCGAGGCGGGACACUGCGUCUCCCACGGGCCGCCGCCUCACAACCACCGUGCAUAGCCGCGGGGACUUGAGGUACCGCGCUAAGGACCUCACCCUGCCGGCUUACAGCAGCAACCCUCGCUCCCGCAGCCAUUCCGCCGCCCCAACGGACUCUCCGUCGCUGCACAUGUCGCGCUCUCGCAGCAAGUCUCCCCGCCGCGUCACUGAGCCCGGUAGCCGCUCCCUCUCCCCUCCCGAGGCCAGGCCGGGUUACAGCGGGGGUUCCAGGAUGACUUCCCGCAGCGCUACCGCCACCCCGACAGGCUCCCCCAAGAAGAGACAGCUGCCCCCUAUUCCUACUCAUCAGUUAUCCUCCAGGGACAAGGUAACGCAGGAGCUAGAGGACAGGACUCGCCAGAUGAAGGCGAAAAUGAUGCAGAUUCAAGCCUACAGGUCAACCGGUUCACACCUGUACUCCGGCCACUCCGACACCGAACUGCGUAUGUAUGACAGGUACUCCCAGGGGCGCGGGGUGCUGGUGUCCCCCGAGCGUGAUCCGGAUAGAGACUUUGGCGACUCUGCCAGUGACAUUGAGAGUGUCGUAAGUGCCUUCUCCACUCAGAGCGAGAGGCCCCGAGGCUCCACGAAGCUCAGUAGGCGGCACCUGAGUAGCUUGAAGAGCCACACUCAUGGCUAUGACGCCACCCUAGACCCGCCCUCCCUGCUGACCGACGUGACGCGAGACAUUUCUCCCCACGGGCGGGAGCCGUCGUGCAGCCUUCUGGACGUGAGCCUCCGCCCCCCUAGCCCCAUUCAACCCCGACCCCCUCACCUCCGCCGUUCUCUUUCCAUGGGUGUGGGCGCAGGUGUCUCCCGGAGCGCGCCGCACCUGGCCGCGCGUCCCCGUCAGCACCCACAGCCACGCCCCCUCAUGCGUUGCAACACGGAGGCCAGCGUGGCUCCUCCGCCACGACCCCGCCACCGCCUGCAGAAAAGCCAAAGCCUUGGCGAGAAUGACCGGCGAUGGGAAGUUCGCCAGGAUGCUGACUACUUUCCUGAGGCGUGGGAAUUUUCUAAUCGCGCUCGCUCGAAGUCCCUAACCCGUGACGAUUUUUCUCUUCGGCCGCCCCCUAGAAAAACGGUAACGUAUGAAGACGAGGUGUUACGAGAACGGUUGCAGGAGCCUCCCCCCUUCUCCAGAAGCUCACUAUCUCUUGAUAAAUCAGUGCCUUAUGAGUCUGACUUAGUGGUAAGGGAACACGCGCAGGACCCUUAUGUGCGAAAGUCUCGGGCAGUCCCUGACGGGUACACGCAGGUGUCUCAAGAGCAGCAACAGCAAAAGCAGCAAAAACAGCAGCAGCCUCCUGAUGCUGCCAGGGGUCUGUACCGGCGGCGCAGUUCCGUCCGCCUUGCAGACAGCCAUAGUGCAGGAACCUAUUACGGGUAUGAUUCAGACUAUAGUGGAGCAGAAACAGAAGUGUUCCUUCCAGACCGCUCUCUUGAUCGCUCCUUUAGUCUGGAGCAAGUGGACCAGCGGAGCUCCGAGUUGGAGUUCACCUCUGGGGAUGAGCGGCACCCAACAGGACCAGCAGAUCUUCCCCACCACUCAUUAUUGGCAAUGCAGGAAGGUUGCAGCCAAACGCUUCCAAGAGCUCGACGAGCCUCCACUGGACCUUCACGUAGAGUCAUGAUGAGAGCAAACACCGAGAGCGCCUUGUUGAAAGGCCCUAGUAGAGACCUACGCGAGCAGAUUAGCUGGAAACCGUCCAGAGGAGAACAGGAACGGAUGUAUGGUAUUUCUCGUGAGCACAGCUUAGGAGAAGGCUCCUCAGGCGAAAGAAGGCAGCCCCUUGAGGCAGUGAGAGGGAUACAUUCUAGUCCAGCCCUGUCACGAGUCCUCGAUGGGAGUAUGCCACAAGAUAAAUAUGAGUCAUGUAGUUCAGAUGACGUGUUUAUUCCUAUUGAGCAGCGUAGGCAUGGCUUGGUUCAGUCUGAAGGUGACCGAGACAGUCGACCUGAUGACUCAUAUGAUGGCCCACCAGUGGAAGGCCGACGGUAUCACUACACAUCCCUCCCACAAGACCAAGCCAGAGCCAGGGACCACGAAGACACACGGCUCCAUCAUGGCAGCUUGGGGGAGGACAGACGCCCUUUGGAUCCUCAAGUUCUCCCAGAAGGUGGCAGGUAUCUUGAACAUGAUGAGAGAGAUGAAAGCAGAUACUUGGAACAAACCCCUAGGGAUGAAGGCAGGUACCUCGAGCAUGAUCCGAGAGAUGAGUCAAGUUACCGUAGACAUGGGUCGAGAGAGGAGGUAAGGUUUCGUGAACACGAUCCUCAAGAUGAGAUGAGAUAUCAUGACCACAGCUCAAAGGAAGAGGUUAGAGGUCGGGAGCACAGUUCUCGGGAAGACAUCAGAUACAGAGAACACAGCUCUCGCGAUGAAACAAGACAUGUGAAGCCCAGCCUCAGAGGUGAAGCUAUAUUUAGAGAACAUGAUCCUAGAGAUGAAGCCAGGUAUCGAGAACAUGAUCCUCGGGACGAAGCCAGAUUUCGAGACCACGAUCUCCGAGACGAAGCCAGGUACCGAGAACACGCUUCUAGGGAAGACCUUAAACAUAGAAAACAUGGUCGAAAGGUCGAGGCUCGAUAUGUUGAACAUCCCAGGGAUGAGGGUAGAUUCCGAGAGCUUGAGGUGCGGGAAGAAGCACGAUAUCGAGAACAUGGUUCGAGAGAUGACCCCAGAUACCAGGAGUAUCCCCCAAGGGAAGAAAUAAGAUUCCAAGAACCUCUACCUAGAGAAGAAAGUGGUUUCCGAGAAGUGGAGGUAGGAGUGGAACCCACCUACAGAGAUCAUGAUCCAAGAGUUGAAGGAAGAUUCCAGGAUAUGAGGGAGGAGGAGAGGUAUCGAGAUGACAGAAAGGAUGAAGACAGGUAUCGUGAAUCAGACAGUAGAAUGGAUAGCAGAUACCAAGGCACCGAUGAGGGGAGAUACCCUGAGGACAUGAGAGACAGAGGGGAAAGAAGGUUCAGGGACCAAGACCCUAGAAUUGAUGAUAGGUACCAAGGCCCUCGAGAAGAAACCAGGUAUCGUGAGCAACCUUAUCCAGAAAGCUCUACUGGAGCCAGACCAAGACGUCCUGAGAGAGAGAGAGCAGGGACGAUAUUCCAAGGGAUGAGAGAUACAGACAAGGAAGUCUUGAUCAAGAAAGAUACAGAGAAAUGCCUUUAGAAAAGGAGCGGUUCAGGGAACAAGAAGAUGUGAGAUACAGGGAUGCUGGUGCUAUGGAACGAGAAAGAUAUAAAGAGUAUGGAGCUGUAGAAAGAGACAGAUAUAAAAGAUGGAGUUCUGUAACAGAGGAUAAGUAUAGAGAGAGCUUGGAGAUGGGAGACAGAGACUACCGCGCUGCAACACUUGAAAAAGACCGAUUUCGAAGUUGUGUUUCUUUGGACCAGGAUAGGUUUAGGGAUCAGGGACGCGAUCCAUACCGGGAUGGUAGUGAGGGACCGGAGCGAGGGUAUAAAGGGCAGGCGGAGGACAGAAAGCACUACGGUAGCCGGAGGGACCUCAGAGACAGGAGGCUGUACGAUGAUCAUGGCGGGGAAUCGUAUGAAGGGGAGGAUCGCAGGUUCAGAGAUAUGCACCACCCCAGUUACGAUCCCACCUUUCCCUACCAUGACCCGAGGCGACCACCUGACCACCGACGUGACGCUGCUUCUCACCCGCACCAUACCUCGCACCCUCACGACCUCGCUCAUGCACACCUCACUAAUACCCCUCACACCCAUCCCUACGCCGCCCACGAGACCCGUGCUGCAGACCCGUCCUAUAAUGUAGCCGAUCCCCUACCCCACCACCAUCCCCUCGACACAGACCCUUUGGAAGGCGAGAUCCCGGACACAGACAGACCCCUGACCCCCCGAGUUCGCCACAGUUCCUCAUGAGUUUAGCCACCGGACCACCACCCCCUUCGGGCCAACGGGGGUGAGCAUCGGCGGGGCCAGCAAGCGCGGCCAGCUGGGCAGGAGCCGCUCCACCAGCGAGGUCCCAGAGACGGAAAAAGCUG
This is an RNA transcript of Portunus trituberculatus (swimming crab), 7301 nucleotides long. It is a transcript of the gene named regulating synaptic membrane exocytosis protein 2-like, with no coding region annotated. The transcript has 17 exons. The record is from RefSeq and is a predicted model, not a curated record. NCBI's taxonomy places the organism in Eukaryota, Metazoa, Arthropoda, Malacostraca, Decapoda, Portunidae.